RNAcentral lists this long non-coding RNA (2227 nucleotides) under Malus domestica (apple). RNAcentral's name for it is "long non-coding RNA (MDOM_LNC002079)". Lineage: Eukaryota; Viridiplantae; Streptophyta; Magnoliopsida; Rosales; Rosaceae. The record is from RNAcentral.
GUAAAACUUAGUGACCAUUUUGACAUUUAACCCUUAAAUUUAUCUAAUUAACCAAGGAAGCUGAUUUUCACACUUCAUUUAGUCUCUCACACACCCUUUGUUUUAUUUUUGAUAUCGAAUUGAAUAACGUAAAGGAAAACAACGAAUAAAAUUAUGUAAGGGUAUGACAAAGGAGAAAAAUGUGUCCAUUUAUCAUUUUACUUAAUCAAUUGAGAUGAGAUAUACAUUUAGAUAUUUUUUUCACAUUAAAAAGAGAAACACCACUAAACUAAAAUAAUGAUUGUCGACUUCAGUAACUAACUUUCGACAAAUAAAAUACAAAACCAACAUAUACAAUAGUAAUUGGCGACUUUCACUAAGUUGUCAUGGUAACUAAACAUAAACUAUUGAUUAUUUUCUCAAAAAUGAAUAAUACAAAAUGUUUCAACAUAUUAAAUUAGGCCAAUUUUUUUGUGUGCUCCAUGUGGUGUUAUUGGACUUUCAAUAUGACCCUCAUGGUAAAAAAGUUGUUAAUAAAACUCUCGUGAUGAGCUCUGUUAACAAUUGAGGUUCACAUCUUAACUUCCGUUAAAUAAAGAGGAUAAAGUUGUCCUUUCAAAAUCAGAAAGAAACCUAAUAGCUAGAGCAUCUUUAUAUUUUUAACAAGCGAUACUAUCUACACUAAAGGGAUGUGGGACUCACAAUGGACUAGCAAUUAUGUAGUUCAAAUUUACAUUUGACGAGAAUCGAAUAUAAAACUUCUCACUUAUAAAUGAAGAAAAAUACUAGUAAAAUCGUAGUACUGAGCGGCACUGGAGCAUCUCUAUCUUGUUUUUGCACAUCCACUAACCCGCGACAAAUGGAUGAAAGGAAGUCUCCAAUUUUGUUCUUUGGCAACUCCUACUCUUGAACUCCGUACUCGGAAAAUUUUGAGGCAACUUAAUGACAAGCAGCGGGCAGCUAAGUCGGAGUGGAAUGGGGUACCGAGGACGACCCUCUGCUGUGAGUUGGUUUGACAACAUGCUCUUCGCUGCCUUAUGGAGUAAUGGGGGGUGUUUCUUUUAUCCAAAGCUACCGUAUAGUUUUAGCCAAAAGAAUUAAUCUGCCUCUGCUUCUUCAUGGAAUCCUCUCUAGCCGAUAUAAUUGUUUCCGCCUCUGCCGGUUUCAUAAUUUGUCGAACCCUAAUUCAUCAUCGGUAGGCAGCGACCAAGCAAUCAACUGACAUAUAAACGAAACAAGAACCCAUAGUAAUAGUUUCUUUAAUUUGAUUUUGAAUGGACAACUUUACCAUUUUUAUUUAACGGAGACUAAUAGAAGUUUAGGUUUGGAUCUUAAUUGCUAACAGAGGUCAACACAAAGGUUUAAUUAGUAACUUUUUCACCAUAAGAGUCACAUUAAAAGUAUGAUGUCACAACAAAGACCAUAAAAAAAAAAUUGGCCAUUAAAUUAUAGGAAAACUAAUGAAAAUGACUUAAAAACUUUGAGUUUUAACGAUAAAGACAAAAAAAUGGUAAAGUGAAUAGUACCAAGAUUGACUUUUUAGUGUAAAAAUGUGGUUUUUCGUUAAAGUGAACAGUAAUGCGAGCUUUUCGUUAAAACUCUCUUAAAUUAUGCCUUUCACAAAAAAACAUAUUAAAUUACGAAAAAAUCUUUGGUCCUUUUUUAAAGGUGGCAAAAAGACCGAGGUAUUUUUUUUUUUUUUUUUGUCAAAAAUUAAAUUUUGUUAAAUUAGAUAUUAGAUUAACCACCGACAGGAGUUGAGCUCACGUUAUCUUGCAAAUGCUUGACACAUUUUCAUCAACAUAGUAAAGGGCCACGUACAAGAAGCCCGGGGGUUGAGUUAGUUGGCAGUGUUCUGUAGCUAUGCAUAAAAAAAUGCAAAGAGGCCACUCUCCUCAUCCCGAUAUUCUUUUCUUUUGGUCGGAUGUCCUCUCGCCUAUAUUCACUGACUAAAGAGAUUUGGAUUGGAUCACGAAGUCAAUUACCAAUCAUCUACUUCCAAAUAGACAGGAAAACAAACCAUCACCAUAAAUAAUUCCAAACAAAAAGAAUAACAGAUUAAAUAAAAAGUGGUGGAAUAAAAGGGAGACACACAUCAGUAAUCCACCCUUCUCUCCCCUCUCCUCUCCUCUCCUACGUUGCUUCCCUUUUCCUCCAACCCCUCAUUUUUUUCUCUAUUUUUUUUAUUUUCCUCCAACCCCUCAUUUUUUUUCUCUUUUUAUUUUUUUUAAAAUUUUCCUCCAACCCC